UUGCGGUUAAAAAGCUCGUAGUUGGAUCUCGGCAGGUAGAGGGCGGUAUGCUUCGUAGCAUUACUGCCCUAUUACUUGUAGUUUUGCCAGAGGUUCCUGGGUGCUCUUAAUCGAGUGUCUAGGGAUGCUGGCAGGUUUACUUUGAAAAAAUUAGAGUGCUCAAAGCAGGCUAUUACGCUUGAAUAUUCGUGCAUGGAAUAAUAGAAUAGGAAGUUGUUUCUAGUUUGUUGGUUUUCGGAAAUCGACUUAAUGAUUAAUAGGGACAGUCGGGGGCAUUUGUAUUCAAACGACAGAGGUGAAAUUCUUGGACCGUUUGAAGACAAACUACUGCGAAAGCAUUUGCCAAGAAUGUUUUCAUUAAUCAAGAACGAAAGUUAGAGGUUCGAAGGCGAUUAGAUACCGCCCUAGUUCUAACCAUAAACGAUGCCAGCUAGCGAUCUGAGGACGUUUUUUUUGUAGACUCCUCAGGAAGCUUCCGGGAAACCAAAGCGUGUGGGUUCCCGGGGGAAGUAUGGUUGCAAAGCUGAAACUUAAAGGAAUUGACGGAAGGGCACCACCAGGAGUGGAGCCCGCGGCUUAAUUUGACUCCACACGGGAAAUCUCACCAGGCCCGGACCCUGGAA
This 623-nucleotide ribosomal RNA is filed under the name uncultured marine eukaryote. RNAcentral describes it as "SSU rRNA". It matches the Rfam family "Eukaryotic small subunit ribosomal RNA", at positions 613 to 1236 of the family's 1831-position model. The record is from RNAcentral.